This 960-nucleotide long non-coding RNA is filed under the name Prunus persica (peach). Its description in RNAcentral is "long non-coding RNA (PPER_LNC007441)". The record is from RNAcentral. Lineage: Eukaryota; Viridiplantae; Streptophyta; Magnoliopsida; Rosales; Rosaceae.
UUACACUUUCUACUCAAAAAAUCAAUCUACAAUCUCUAUUUGUUUCUUUGUGUUAUUGUGUGAUCUUUGAAAAUGGCGAAUUACCAGAACCAAUAUGGUGCAACGGCCCAAUCUACAAAUGAUUACGGGAACCCACUCACCAACUACACCGGAUCAGAGCCCCAAUCUACAAAUGAGUACGGGGCUACAGAUGAGUAUGGGAACCCAGUCACCACCUACACCAGAUCAGAGCCCCACUAUACAGAUGAGUAUGGGAACCCAGUACGCGAAAGGGGGAUGAUGGACAAGAUCAAGGAGAAGCUCCCAGGUACUCAUGACCCCUACUCAUCUCAUUCUCAGACAACCUACCCCACUGCACGUUACGGUGAAACCGGCUACACUGGAUUGGAGCAGCACCAUGGGAUGAUGAACAAGAUGCCAGGUACUGACCCCUACUCAUCUCAUUCUCAUACAACCGGCACCACUGCACCUUACGAUGGAACCGGCUACACCGGAACAGAGUACCGCCAGCACAAGGGCACGAUGGACAGGAUCAAGGAUAAGCUGACUGGGACUGGUGGACAUAGGGUGGAUGAUCCCUACUCAUCUCAUUCUCAUAAAACCGCCACCACCACACCUUACGGUGGCACCACCACCACAGCUUACGGUGACAGCACCACCACACCUUCACCUUACGGUGGCACCACCACCACACAUUCACCUUACGGUGGCACCACCACCACAGCUUACGGUGACACCACCACCACACCUUCAGCUUACGGUGGCACCACCACCACACCUUCAGCUUACGGUGGCACCGCCACCACCACCUACCCCCGUGAAAAGAAGGGCAUCAUGGACAAGAUCAAAGAGAAACUUCCUGGUGGACAUCAUUAUUAAUAAUAGGGUUAUGUAAGAGAUAGAUACGUUAGGUAUCGUUUUGUGUUCAAUGUUUUAGUAUGACGUGUAUAAUAAGCGGUG